This 584-nucleotide ribosomal RNA is filed under the name Brevibacillus laterosporus. RNAcentral's name for it is "bacterial SSU rRNA". It matches the Rfam family "Bacterial small subunit ribosomal RNA", at positions 173 to 747 of the family's 1533-position model. The record is from RNAcentral. Lineage: Bacteria; Bacillati; Bacillota; Bacilli; Caryophanales; Paenibacillaceae.
GGUUUUGCUUCGCCUGAAGCGAAACGGAAAGAUGGCGCAAGCUAUCACUUACAGAUGGGCCUGCGGCGCAUUAGCUAGUUGGUGAGGUAAUGGCUCACCAAGGCAACGAUGCGUAGCCGACCUGAGAGGGUGACCGGCCACACUGGGACUGAGACACGGCCCAGACUCCUACGGGAGGCAGCAGUAGGGAAUUUUCCACAAUGGACGAAAGUCUGAUGGAGCAACGCCGCGUGAACGAUGAAGGCUUUCGGGUCGUAAAGUUCUGUUGUUAGGGAAGAAACAGUGCUAUUUAAAUAAGGUAGCACCUUGACGGUACCUAACGAGAAAGCCACGGCUAACUACGUGCCAGCAGCCGCGGUAAUACGUAGGUGGCAAGCGUUGUCCGGAAUUAUUGGGCGUAAAGCGCGCGCAGGUGGCUAUGUAAGUCUGAUGUUAAAGCCCGAGGCUCAACCUCGGUUCGCAUUGGAAACUGUGUAGCUUGAGUGCAGGAGAGGAAAGUGGUAUUCCACGUGUAGCGGUGAAAUGCGUAGAGAUGUGGAGGAACACCAGUGGCGAAUGCGACUUUCUGGCCUGUAACUGACACU